Long non-coding RNA from Cucurbita moschata (crookneck pumpkin), 698 nucleotides. RefSeq lists it as uncharacterized. The transcript is spliced from 2 exons. The record is from RefSeq and is a predicted model, not a curated record. NCBI's taxonomy places the organism in Eukaryota, Viridiplantae, Streptophyta, Magnoliopsida, Cucurbitales, Cucurbitaceae.
AAAGAGAAAGAGAGAUGAGAAAGGAGAAAGGAAAAGAAGCUAGGGUUUGUGAGAGAUGAAGAGUAGAGAAGCCAAACCACCUUAGAUCUGUCGUUGGAGAUCGAAUCCAAGGCAAGAAACUUCGAAGCAAGACUUCUCUCAGUGCUCGAAAAGGAGUUUGGGUGGUGGAUUCACCCAUUCCAGUACGAAAAUCCGAGAACAAACAAAGAGAGAGAAAGAGACCGUCACGCGUCGACCGCAAACGAAGGAGCGCGGCGGAGCCGGCGUGCGCCAUGUGGCGACAUUCCACUGGUACAUUGCGUUCGGCCACUCCGUCGACACGCGUUAAGCGCGGAGUCGAGUCGACCCGAACGUCCGCCAAACCGAGCCAGAAACCUGCGAACCAACCCGACACCUUCCACCAAUCAAUGUGCGCCACGUGUCACGCCCACAAAAUUUGAGGGGUAAGUCUACGCCCGCUAGGGUUUGAAAUGCGGCACUGCCAGCGCAUGUGGCCUGCGCGUGGAGGUCGCACGUGUUGUGGGAGCAUGUUGGUGCGUGUGUGAGCGUGUCGGUGCGUGCACGGCACGUGUGACCCUAUUCUCUCACCCGCUCAGCCUCUGUUUGCUUGUUUUUCGUCCCGAUUUCAACUUUGAUCCUAUUUUUAUGUGAAUUAGGACCUAUCAAAGAAAUUCUAUAAUUUUUAGAACCUUUUUCGA